CCGGCACGGGUGAGUAACACGUAUGCAACCUGCCUGCCACAGCCGGAUAAUCGGGAGAAAUUCCGUCUAAUACGGCAUAAUGCAUCGACGGGACAUCCUGUUGGUGCCAAAGGUUGAUUCCGGUGGCGGAUGGGCAUGCGUCGCAUUAGUUAGUUGGCGGUGUAACGGACCACCAAGACGACGAUGCGUAGGGGUUCUGAGAGGAAGGUCCCCCACACUGGUACUGAGACACGGACCAGACUCCUACGGGAGGCAGCAG
RNAcentral lists this ribosomal RNA (259 nucleotides) under uncultured bacterium. Its description in RNAcentral is "partial 16S ribosomal RNA". It matches the Rfam family "Bacterial small subunit ribosomal RNA", at positions 97 to 354 of the family's 1533-position model. The record is from RNAcentral.